GGCUACACUGUGGCAUAUGGAGGUUUCCAGGCUAGGGGUCUAAUCGAGCUGUAGCCGCCGGCCUGCACCACAGCCACAGCAACACCGUAUCCAAGCUGCGUCUGCAACCUACACCACAGCUCAUGGCAACUGAACAAGGCCAGGGAUCGAAUCCACAACCUUGUGGUUCCUAGUCAGAUUAGUUUCCGCUGUGCCAUGAUGGGAACAAUAAAGUUUGGAGAAAUAUUGAAUUAAUAAUUAGGAUGGGUUAUGUAAACUAGGUAAUACUGCUCACGAUGACAGUCUACACUGAAAAGUUUUGAAGACUCAUAGCAAUUUGCAUUUGUACCGCUGGUUAAAGUCUCAAGGUGUUUAGUUAUUUUCAUCAUUUAUUUAUUUAUGAAGAGAAAACAUUCUGCCCAACUUACUUCAUGCUUGCGUAUUAUCACCUAUGUUAUGUCCGUUUAACUUUUAGAAAUUGAUUUCAUUUUGAUUUUUAAAAAAACAACGUGUUUAUUGUAGAAAAUAUGGGGAUUGCAUAAAGUAUAUUUACUUUCACCUUUCAGAGGCAACUGUUGUUUAUAUUUAAUGGAAAAGUAUCAGGUUUAGUGUAAUGUGAUACAUUCAUGGAGGCAUCAUAAAAUGUUUGCCCUUGAUGAUGGUGCUGCAGACUGACAUGGGGAAACUGAAUUCAUUAGCAGUUUCGCAAGUGGUUUUCUUCCCAGCUUCUCUGUAUUCUCGCCUAUUUUAUUCUCGUACCGACACAGUUGUAUUCAUUUGUUGAGGUAUUUAAAACAUCUGGAAUGGGGGGGUUGCUAUAAGGUAGGCAAUUAAUUUUUUGUCAAAUGAAUGGCAUUUCUUCAUUUUUCAGAACUUUCAUGUCCUUUGGUAAAAUCUUGUAGCUUUCUUCUUAUAAACGGCACAUUUCUUUUUAGAUUUAUUCCUAUUUAUUCCACAUCUUUUUGUUGCUAUCUCUCGACACAUCUUAUUUUUUUUCCCCAGUCAAAUUUGAAAUUGAUUUUUUCUGUGUGUAGGAGAGUGAUUAAUGUUGACUUUGGUUCUGGCCACAUUUCUGCAUGUUUUUAUUCAUUCUUAAUAAAGCUUUUUAGUUGAUUUUAUCUGUCUUUAUUGGUAGGCAUAAACAAAAUCUUGUACUUCUUGUUUUUUCUUUUAUUUCUCCUUUGAUUAAAACCUUGACUUUUUCCUCUCGACUCACAUGGGAACCCUUCUGCUGUUGACUAUUGAUUGAGUGUAAUAUUUGUUUUAGGCUCCUCCUAUGUCCUUCUUUCCUCUUAUUUGGUUAAGAGGCUCUUUGGGAUUUGUUGUCUGUUUUUUGGUUGUUAAAUGUUUAUCUUAAAGUGGAGGGGAGGUUAGAUUUUAAGUACUUUUAAGUAUUUUCAACCUUUGUUACUAGGAGAUCAAUCAAGAUAGCAAUAGGUGUGUGUGGCAUUUAUCUGCUGGUAUGGCAGAUAAAUAUCUUUAAAUUUACUCAUUUUGCUUCCCCGUGGUUAAGUCCUAUUUGGUCAUGAAGGGAUACUUUUAUUUUUUUUGUUUUUGUCUUUUUGUUUUAGGGCCAUACCCGUGGCAUAUGGAGGUUCCCAGGCCAGGUCAAGUUGGAGCUGUCGCCGCUGGCCUACGCCACAGCCGCAGCCAGAUCCGAGCUGCAUCUGUGACCUACACCAGAGCUCACAGCAACAAUGGAUGCUUAACCCACUGAGCAAGGGCAGGUAUCAAACCCAUGUCCUCAUGGAUACUAGUCAGAUUCGUUUCCAUUGAGCCACGACAGAAACUCCAGGGAUAGUUUUAAAUAUGUAGUGGAUUUGUCAAGAUUUUAUUUGGUGGCUUUGCAUCUUUAUUUAAAAAUGUGAAUUUGUAGGUUUUAUUUUCUGGCAUAUUUGUUAAUUUUUGAUAGCAGAGAUAGACUAGCUUUGUAUCUCCAUUACUCAUACAUCUAAAGCUCUAUGCUGUACCCUUGAUUGCUUUUACAUUCUCCCUAAAUAGUACCUCUUCUCACCAUUCCAGUCACAUGCCUGCCUGUACCACCUCACCACUAGCAUCCUACCAGAGGGCCUGCCAUAGGCAGCACUACUCGAUAUUUCAGGUGUUUUCAGAAGCAGCAAGGAGGCAAGGGGAAGAAAGAUGGUGGAGGUAGAGGAGAAAGAAUAUUAUCAAAAUUUAUGGAUAAAACCAUUUGUUUUCCAUAAUUGAUGUAACACAUAUAACUGAAUACAUUUGUGUUUAUGGACUCUAUCAUUAUAUAUCUUAGCUUUUGUCUUUUGACAUAUUAACUGUGUAAUUUCUUUUUAGUAAAUUAUCUUUUGUUUACAAAUAUGUAAAUGUGUAUAUGUUUAUGUUUUUAAUACCCACAGCCCUUUUCCCGUUAAAUCGCAUUCAAACUUAUUACCAUUACAGUUUUAUGUUGGAGAAUAGAUUUAAAACUUUUUAAAGAAGAGUUACAUUCUUAUUUUCUGUGUUCUAAGUAGGCUGCUGAAAUUUACAGCUGAUGCAACAGUCUUAAAAUCCAAAAGGUUUUUGCGUUGAAGGAGCUGAACUGUGUUUGAUAGAAAAGGUUUUGAGUUUUCAAAGUAAAGCUCUGAAGAUGCCAGUGCAUAGAUGUAUUUAUUUUUGAAAAUUUAAACAGUACAUUGGAAUUAAAAUUAGCUAGAAAAAUGAGACAAUCUCAUCAUAAUGUUGUAUAAGCACUCUCUUAGGCUAGGGGGAGAUUUGUGAUAGAAGAAAGACGCAGUAGACCUGGUGGUCCUGCGCCUUCCCUUUCUUUCCUUUUCAGGCUGAGGCGUGGAAGAAAUGGCGAGAGAAACUCCCAUCAGGUGAAGCUUGAGCAGAUUUAAGCGUCACUCGGUAGGUGAAAGCUAGGGAGAUGGGAGGACUUAUAUAAACGCAUACAAGGUCCUGUAUGACUGUCGUGUGGUGGCAGAGCAUUGGAAUGGCUGGAGCCCCUGCCCCUUCUGGAACUUGACGAGGCGACCAUCGCAUGGGUGUGUCCUACACUAAAGUGACAUGGGGUCAAGUAGGGUAGAGAGGCUUAUGAGAGGAACCUGGAGCCAGAGAAGAUGAACUAUUAAUCCCUGUUUCCCUUUGCAUCCCAGGAGGCAGCUAGGACUUUUUGUAUUCUGGGCCAGAGCAGUUGGUUGAGAGACCAGUGCUGGCAGUUAGGAUGGUGGGGAUGUGAGAAUGGCAGCAUGUAAACGAUUGCAUUUGGAGUGGAUAAGCAAUGAGGUCCUGCUGUAUGGCACAGGGAACUAUAUCCAGUCACUUGUGAUGGAGCAUGACAGAAGAUAAUAUGGGAAAAAGAAAAAAUAUAUAUAAUGUAUGUACAACUGGGUUACUCUGCUGUACAGCAGAAAUUGACAGAAUGUUGUAAAUCAACGAUAAUAAAAAUGUUUUUAAAAAAGCAAAAAAAAAAAAAAAAA
This 3410-nucleotide long non-coding RNA is filed under the name Sus scrofa (pig). Its description in RNAcentral is "lncRNA (ENSSSCG00040019418.1)". The record is from RNAcentral. Lineage: Eukaryota; Metazoa; Chordata; Mammalia; Artiodactyla; Suidae.